This is a long non-coding RNA of Rana temporaria (common frog), 195 nucleotides long. RefSeq lists it as uncharacterized. NCBI's taxonomy places the organism in Eukaryota, Metazoa, Chordata, Amphibia, Anura, Ranidae. The transcript has 2 exons. The record is from RefSeq and is a predicted model, not a curated record.
UGUCAGGCCUCCAUCCGAUCGUAUCCCUUACGAUGAUCAGAAGAUGAAUCCGUGACUCCGCCCUCUCCGGGCCGCUACCAUCCUCUGAUUGGCUCUUCAUAGAUCUGCAAAGCUCUUCAGGGGCCGACCUCCGGAAAUGACGAGUCGGCGCUUUUCUUUUCUCACAUAAUAAAAUGUGUAUCUGAUGAACACAGA